UUAGUCACCACAUUACUCAGAAAUUUCUCUACCACUCAUUUACUAAAAUUUAUCUAUAGAUUGAUGAUCAAAUCUACACAAAAUCUCAUCCAAAAAGACUCAAUAGAUACCAGCAAAAUAUGGGUGGAAAAGUAAUUUCUUUGCUAAACAUUUUGGUCGUGUUAGUUCUAAUCAUGUCCCCCCAAGUAGCUUUUGCAAGAGAACUUGCGGAGACUACCAACAUCAAAAUCGAGACGAACGCCGUUAAACCAAUCCGGGGGGGCGCCAUUAAACCAAUCGGGGGCCCAAAUUACAAUCGCCGCAACCGCAAGCGCGAAUGUGGUUACAAGAAUUUGUGUCACGGAGGAGGACCACCUCCCGCCCAGACCAAACCUUGAGAAUCCAAGCCCUAACACCCAAUGUUUGAAGAGUUGAAGUACAAUACUAUUAAAUAAUUUCAAAUAAAAUAAUCCAAACUGUAGUAUGGUGUUUAUGAUUAUGUCGAUACAUGUCAUUCUAAUUUUGUUUGAGUUAAAGCAAUAUUGUGGUCCUUGUUUAAGGGUUUCUGAGUUAUAUGAGUAUGUUUUAGGAUUA
Salvia hispanica is the source of this 573-nucleotide long non-coding RNA. RefSeq lists it as uncharacterized. NCBI's taxonomy places the organism in Eukaryota, Viridiplantae, Streptophyta, Magnoliopsida, Lamiales, Lamiaceae. The record is from RefSeq and is a predicted model, not a curated record.